RNAcentral lists this long non-coding RNA (394 nucleotides) under Capsicum annuum. RNAcentral describes it as "long non-coding RNA (CANN_LNC001261)". The record is from RNAcentral. Lineage: Eukaryota; Viridiplantae; Streptophyta; Magnoliopsida; Solanales; Solanaceae.
ACUGAGAUAACAACACAGAGAACAAGUUAGAUAUACAAGGUAAUCUCUGAGACUUUUUUUUUUGAUGCUAACAAUUGGACAUUUGUUCUGGAUGAUUAAACAACUUGACUUAAAAGUAAAUACACAUAAUUUCUAGUAUGGUUAUGGCUUGGACUUAAAAGUAAAUACACAUAUUUGCUUCUAUUUGGGUACUAAUGAUGGACAUCUCUACAAAACAAUGCAACUAGAACACCCAUGUCCAAGAUAACUUUGACCUUCCAUGCAUCAAUUUACUUCAAAGAGAAAUAUCUUCAACACUUGAAAUGCCUUACUUCAAACAUUCAUGUCACUUUUGCAGUCCUUGACCUUGUAAAGUGACACAAGUUGCAAAGACUUCAGCACAACUUAUUAUGGA